GACGAACGCUGGCGGCGUGCUUAACACAUGCAAGUCGAACGGAAAGGCCCUGCUUUUGUGGGGUGCUCGAGUGGCGAACGGGUGAGUAACACGUGAGUAACCUGCCCUUGACUUUGGGAUAACUUCAGGAAACUGGGGCUAAUACCGGAUAGGAGCUCCUGCUGCAUGGUGGGGGUUGGAAAGUUUCGGCGGUUGGGGCUGGACUCGCGGCUUAUCAGCUUGUUGGUGGGGUAGUGGCUUACCAAGGCUUUGACGGGUAGCCGGCCUGAGAGGGUGACCGGCCACAUUGGGACUGAGAGACGGCGCAGACGCCUACGGGAGGCAGCAGUGGGGAAUAUUGCACAACGGGCGGAAGCCUGAUGCGACAGCGCCGCGUGCGGGAUGACGGCCUUCGGGUUGUAAACCGCUUUCGCCUGUGACGAAGCGUGAGUGACGGUAAUGGGUAAAGAAGCACCGGCUAACUACGUG
Molecule: ribosomal RNA, 468 nt
Filed under: uncultured bacterium
Lineage: Bacteria
Description: partial 16S ribosomal RNA
Rfam family: Bacterial small subunit ribosomal RNA
Source: RNAcentral